Molecule: ribosomal RNA, 448 nt
Filed under: uncultured bacterium
Lineage: Bacteria
Description: partial 16S ribosomal RNA
Rfam family: Bacterial small subunit ribosomal RNA
Source: RNAcentral
CGUGCUUAACACAUGCAAGUCGAACGAUGAACCCGGAGACUGCUCCGGUGGAUUAGUGGCGGACGGGCGAGUAACACGUGGGAACGUACCUUUUGGUUCGGAACAACUCAGGGAAACUUGAGCUAAUACCGGAUGAGCCCUUCGGGGGAAAGAUUUAUCGCCAUUAGAGCGGCCCGCGUUAGAUUAGCUAGUUGGUGAGGUAAAGGCUCACCAAGGCUACGAUCUAUAGCUGGUCUGAGAGGAUGAUCAGCCACACUGGGACUGAGACACGGCCCAGACUCCUACGGGAGGCAGCAGUGGGGAAUCUUGCGCAAUGGGCGAAAGCCUGACGCAGCCAUGCCGCGUGAAUGAUGAAGGUCUUAGGAUUGUAAAAUUCCUUUACCAGGGACGAUAAUGACGGUACCUGGAGAAAAAGCCCCGGCUAACUUCGUGCCAGCCGCCGCAGUAA